CUACGGGAGGCAGCAGUGGGGAAUAUUGGACAAUGGGGGAAACCCUGAUCCAGCAAUGCCGCGUGUGUGAAGAAGGCCUGCGGGUUGUAAAGCACUUUCGGUUGGGAGGACUGCUUCUAGCACUAAUAUUGUUGGAAGUUGACGUUACCUUCAGAAGAAGCACCGGCUAACUCCGUGCCAGCAGCCGUGGUAAUACGGAGGGUGCAAGCGUUAAUCGGAAUUACUGGGCGUAAAGCGCGCGUAGGCGGCUAGAUCAGUCGGGUGUGAAAGCCCCGGGCUUAACCUGGGAACUGCAUCCGAUACUGUCUAGCUUGAGUACAGGAGAGGAGAGUGGAAUUCCACAUGUAGCGGUGAGAUGCGUAGAUAUGUGGAGGAACACCAAUGGCGAAGGCAGCUCUCUGGCCUGAUACUGACGCUGAGGUGCGAAAGCGUGGGGAGCAAACAGGAUUAGAUACCCGCGUAGUC
Molecule: ribosomal RNA, 465 nt
Filed under: uncultured bacterium
Lineage: Bacteria
Description: partial 16S ribosomal RNA
Rfam family: Bacterial small subunit ribosomal RNA
Source: RNAcentral